UCUAUAUGAAGAGUGUUCGAUCUUGGAAUAACAGAAAGAAGAAGAAACAUAAUACCUAUAAAAAUAUAUUGGUUUUGUAAAAAUAAAAUGAUACAUAAAGAGACUUGAUGGUAGCAAAGAAACACUAAAGAUCAGUGAAAGAAUCAAAUUUUUUAUAUUUAAAAUGAUGAGAUGAGGAAGAGUAUUUCUUCACAAUGUAAGACAUGGAGAAUCCAAAGUACCGAAGAGAUGCACACUUCGUGACAUAUGAAAUCGAUGACCAACAUAUAUUCUCCAUCAGUUGCGUGCUCUUUCAAGAUCACAAAAGUUUGUCAAACAAAUAAAAGCAAUGAAUCAAGAAAAAAUCCAGUUACCACACUACAUGGUUUUUGAUGUAUGAAAUCUAUCUCACAAUACAUGAUAAGGCAUAUAGGG
This 414-nucleotide long non-coding RNA is filed under the name Amborella trichopoda. RNAcentral's name for it is "long non-coding RNA (ATRI_LNC002371)". Lineage: Eukaryota; Viridiplantae; Streptophyta; Magnoliopsida; Amborellales; Amborellaceae. The record is from RNAcentral.